Molecule: non-coding RNA, 141 nt
Organism: Podarcis lilfordi (Lilford's wall lizard)
Lineage: Eukaryota; Metazoa; Chordata; Lepidosauria; Squamata; Lacertidae
Source: the annotation of a GenBank genome assembly
CCAUGCUAUGGUAACCUCUAGAUUAGGUUACGGUAAUGUGCUCUGUCUGGGAGAUGCCUUUGAAGACUGUAGCAGCCAUCAAAGGCAGUACCACACAGACUGCAUUACUAUAAUCUAAUCUAGAGGUCAUUAUAGCAUGGA